GAUGAACGCUGGCGGCGUGCCUAAUACAUGCAAGUCGAGCGAACGGACGAGAAGCUUGUUUCUCUGAUGUUAGCGGCGGACGGGUGAGUAACACGUGGAUAACCUACCUAUAAGACUGGGAUAACUUCGGGAAACCGGAGCUAAUACCGGAUGAUAUUUUGAACCGCAUGGUUCAAAAGUGAAAGACGGUCUUGCUGUCACUUAUAGAUGGAUCCGCGCUGCAUUAGCUAGUUGGUAAGGUAACGGCUUACCAAGGCAACGAUGCAUAGCCGACCUGAGAGGGUGAUCGGCCACACUGGAACUGAGACACGGUCCAGACUCCUACGGGAGGCAGCAGUAGGGAAUCUUGCGCAAUGGGCGAAAGCCUGACGGAGCAACGCCGCGUGAGUGAUGAAGGUCUUCGGGUCGUAAAACUCUGUUAUUAGGGAAGAACAUAUGUGUAAGUAACUGUGCACAUCUUGACGGUACCUAAUCAGAAAGCCACGGCUAACUACGUG
RNAcentral lists this ribosomal RNA (497 nucleotides) under uncultured bacterium. RNAcentral describes it as "partial 16S ribosomal RNA". It matches the Rfam family "Bacterial small subunit ribosomal RNA", at positions 28 to 507 of the family's 1533-position model. The record is from RNAcentral.